Molecule: ribosomal RNA, 333 nt
Filed under: Triticum aestivum (bread wheat)
Lineage: Eukaryota; Viridiplantae; Streptophyta; Magnoliopsida; Poales; Poaceae
Description: partial small subunit ribosomal RNA
Source: RNAcentral
AUGUGCAUGUCCAUCCGCCCCCUGCGGAUCAGCGCAGGGUCAAGCUCGCCGACAUAGUUUGUGGUGAACACAAUGAUCCGCUCACCGCUAUGCGCCGACCAAAGGCCAUCGAUGAAAUUGAGUAGGCCAGACAAAGUCAGCCUAUUGGGAUCGGCAUAAUCAUGGGCAUCGUCUGCCUGUGCUUGUCGCCGUCCACCUUUUCUGACACGAUUACCGGUGAGGUCGAGGGAGCAGUCGAUGUCCUCGAUGACGAUAAUUGACUUGCCAGUGGUCUCGAUGAAGAGCUUGCGAAGGUCACUGUUGGUGCUUAGGGUGGUGAGCUCAAUGUCGUAG